UACGAAGGGGGCUAGCGUUGCUCGGAAUUACUGGGCGUAAAGCGCACGUAGGCGGCUUUCUAAGUCGGGGGUGAAAUCCUGGAGCUCAACUCCAGAACUGCCUUCGAUACUGGAAAGCUCGAGUCCGGGAGAGGUGAGUGGAACUGCGAGUGUAGAGGUGAAAUUCGUAGAUAUUCGCAAGAACACCAGUGGCGAAGGCGGUUCUCUGGGCCUGUACUGACGCUGAGGAGCG
RNAcentral lists this ribosomal RNA (232 nucleotides) under uncultured prokaryote. Its description in RNAcentral is "partial 16S ribosomal RNA". It matches the Rfam family "Bacterial small subunit ribosomal RNA", at positions 524 to 755 of the family's 1533-position model. The record is from RNAcentral.